UACGGGGGGGGCAAGCGUUGUUCGGAAUUACUGGGCGUAAAGGGCUCGUAGGCGGCCAACUAAGUCAGACGUGAAAUCCCUCGGCUUAACCGGGGAACUGCGUCUGAUACUGGAUGGCUUGAGGUUGGGAGAGGGAUGCGGAAUUCCAGGUGUAGCGGUGAAAUGCGUAGAUAUCUAGGAACACCGGUGGCGAAGGCGGCAUCCUGGACCAAUUCUGACGCUGAGGAGCGAAAGCCAGGGGAGCAAACGGG
RNAcentral lists this ribosomal RNA (251 nucleotides) under uncultured bacterium. RNAcentral's name for it is "partial 16S ribosomal RNA". It matches the Rfam family "Bacterial small subunit ribosomal RNA", at positions 524 to 776 of the family's 1533-position model. The record is from RNAcentral.